This 494-nucleotide ribosomal RNA is filed under the name uncultured bacterium. RNAcentral's name for it is "partial 16S ribosomal RNA". It matches the Rfam family "Bacterial small subunit ribosomal RNA", at positions 28 to 507 of the family's 1533-position model. The record is from RNAcentral.
GACGAACGCUGGCGGCGUGCUUAACACAUGCAAGUCGAACGGUGAAGCGCCUUCCUUUUUGGUGGGUGUGGAUGAGUGGCGAACGGGUGAGUAACACGUGAGUAACCUGCCCCCUUCUUCUGGAUAACCGCAUGAAAGUGUGGCUAAUACGGGAUAUUCUGGGUCUGUCGCAUGAUGGGUCUGGGAAAGAUAUUGUUUCGGUGGGGGAUGGGCUCGCGGCCUAUCAGCUUGUUGGUGGGGUGAUGGCCUACCAAGGCGGUGACGGGUAGCCGGCCUGAGAGGGUGGACGGUCACACUGGGACUGAGACACGGCCCAGACUCCUACGGGAGGCAGCAGUGGGGAAUAGUGCACAAUGGGCGCAAGCCUGAUGCAGCGACGCCGCGUGAGGGAUGGAGGCCUGCGGGUUGUGAACCUCUUUCGGCAGUGAAGCAGGCCUGCCUCGUUUGUGGGUGGGUUGACGGUAGCUGGAUAAGAAGCGCCGGCUAACUACGUG